AAAGAAUUAGUUAAAAAUAACCUUAGUAUGUCAAGCUAAAAUUAUUAGAAUAUCUAAUAUUCUUUG
This 66-nucleotide transfer RNA is filed under the name Protochauliodes biconicus. Its description in RNAcentral is "tRNA-Asp". The record is from RNAcentral. Lineage: Eukaryota; Metazoa; Arthropoda; Insecta; Megaloptera; Corydalidae.